GAUGAACGCUGGCGGCGUGCCUAAUACAUGCAAGUCGAGCGAACGGACGAGAAGCUUGCUUCUCUGAUGUUAGCGGCGGACGGGUGAGUAACACGUGGAUAACCUACCUAUAAGACUGGGAUAACUUCGGGAAACCGGAGCUAAUACCGGAUAAUAUUUUGAACCGCAUGGUUCAAAAGUGAAAGACGGUCUUGCUGUCACUUAUAGAUGGAUCCGCGCUGCAUUAGCUAGUUGGUAAGGUAACGGCUUACCAAGGCAACGAUGCAUAGCCGACCUGAGAGGGUGAUCGGCCACACUGGAACUGAGACACGGUCCAGACUCCUACGGGAGGCAGCAGUAGGGAAUCUUCCGCAAUGGGCGAAAGCCUGACGGAGCAACGCCGCGUGAGUGAUGAAGGUCUUCGGAUCGUAAAACUCUGUUAUUAGGGAAGAACAUAUGUGUAAGUAACUGUGCACAUCUUGACGGUACCUAAUCAGAAAGCCACGGCUAACUACGUGCCAGCAGCCGCGGUAAUACGUAGGUGGCAAGCGUUAUCCGGAAUUGUUGGGCGUAAAGCGCGCGUAGGCGGUUUUUUAAGUCUGAUGUGAAAGCCCACGGCUCAACCGUGGAGGGUCAUUGGAAACUGGAAAACUUGAGUGCAGAAGAGGAAAGUGGAAUUCCAUGUGUAGCGGUGAAAUGCGCAGAGAUAUGGAGGAACACCAGUGGCGAAGGCGACUUUCUGGUCUGUAACUGACGCUGAUGUGCGAAAGCGUGGGGAUCAAACAGGAUUAGAUACCCUGGUAGUCCACGCCGUAAACGAUGAGUGCUAAGUGUUAGGGGGUUUCCGCCCCUUAGUGCUGCAGCUAACGCAUUAAGCACUCCGCCUGGGGAGUACGACCGCAAGGUUGAAACUCAAAGGAAUUGACGGGGACCCGCACAAGCGGUGGAGCAUGUGGUUUAAUUCGAAGCAACGCGAAGAACCUUACCAAAUCUUGACAUCCUUUGACAACUCUAGAGAUAGAGCCUUCCCCUUCGGGGGACAAAGUGACAGGUGGUGCAUGGUUGUCGUCAGCUCGUGUCGUGAGAUGUUGGGUUAAGUCCCGCAACGAGCGCAACCCUUAAGCUUAGUUGCCAUCAUUAAGUUGGGCACUCUAAGUUGACUGCCGGUGACAAACCGGAGGAAGGUGGGGGUGACGUCAAAUCAUCAUGCCCCUUAUGAUUUGGGCUACACACGUGCUACAAUGGACAAUACAAAGGGCAGCGAAACCGCGAGGUCAAGCAAAUCCCAUAAAGUUGUUCUCAGUUCGGAUUGUAGUCUGCAACUCGACUACAUGAAGCUGGAAUCGCUAGUAAUCGUAGAUCGGCAUGCUACGGUGAAUACGUUCCCGGGUCU
RNAcentral lists this ribosomal RNA (1372 nucleotides) under uncultured bacterium. RNAcentral describes it as "bacterial SSU rRNA". It matches the Rfam family "Bacterial small subunit ribosomal RNA", at positions 28 to 1381 of the family's 1533-position model. The record is from RNAcentral.